Molecule: long non-coding RNA, 1988 nt
Filed under: Homo sapiens (human)
Lineage: Eukaryota; Metazoa; Chordata; Mammalia; Primates; Hominidae
Description: non-protein coding lnc-ZNF574-1:9
Source: RNAcentral
GCCUCUCUCUCUCUCCCUUGCUUGCCUUGCUUCCUUUUCCCGGAGCCGCACCCAGGUCCCCCACCAUCAUGUACCCCUUACCCAGGCCUCUGAGGGGCCAGGCACCCCCCACCACUCCCCUACAGCAGGAGAGCUUAGGGAGGCUGAGAGCUUGGACAGCCGGGAGAGGGGGCCGGAUCUCUGGAUCUCCCCAGCCUCCAGAUCUCAGUGUGGCUCUCUCUGGAGACAAAAGCUAAGACUCAACCCACAGGCAACACUCAACACAGAGAUCCAGCUCAGAAAAAAAGGAGCUGACCAGGGAGGAAUGGAGAGGCCAAGACACAUAAUGAAGACUAAGAAAAGGAAGAAAGAUGAUGCUGGGGCUGGAGCCAAAGGGAGAGGAAGAGGAAAGGAAGGAAAGCCAGGGGCAGAGACCUGGCAGGGCAGCGUGAGCCCAACAACCACGGGGUGGGGGUGGGGCGCGCAUCAAGAUUUCUAACAAGCGCAGCUGAAAACACCCAGGGCCGUUCUCUGAGGCCUUCUCUCUGCCUACCAGCCCUCACCAGUGCUUCGAAGAGCCCUGAGGAACGUCUCUCUAUUUGAAGUCAGAGCCGAGUGCCUGCUCUCGGCACCUGGGGCUCCAUGCUUACCAGGAUGGUGGGUACUUGACCUUCAUUUGCUGUGGGACUGUCAGGGAUUCCAGGGACCCACUGGUCCCCGAACUGGCUCAGAGAUGCAAGCCAUUUUUACCUCCUACACAUCUAUAAUCCCCACCCCAUGGCUGACAAAUAUUCCCAGUCCACAGCUGUCUCCACCCACCCAGUGACAGAGCACAGGCAGCCAAAAGGAUCAAGCAAUCUCUUGCCACCUCCCAGCACCCCAGAAUGCUAAACAGACCCUCACAUCUGGACUCCACAUCCAGCGAGGAGUGCCCCUGCCCACCACCCAGAUCACACAGCUGCCAGUUACAGACCACCCUAUAGGUCCCACCACACGGCCAUAGCCCACCAGCAUCCCAGAGCUGCCUCUACACUAAAGCUCUGUCCCAGCCCAGCCAUCCUUCAAGCCACAUCUGGAAUAGCACACACCCUAUUCCACUAGCCAAAGCCCCCAGGGGUGUAAUUCAGAAGGAGGCAGACUGGGCCUGGGGCAUGUGGACAAGUCCCUGACACCACGCCCUGGCUUCUCCGGCUUGUCUGAAGAACCUGAACUGCCCUUAAGGCCUGCGCCUCCCAUCCCAGGGCAGCCCCCCCGCCAUACCUACACUCUUGGCCAUGGGAGAAUGUCCUCAUGUGCGGCUAAACAUCCUCCUCAUGCAGCCUUGAAUUCUGUUCCUUCCACGUCACCUCACCAGACCCAGGAUGAAAGCCGCUCACCUAGAGCAAAGCUUCUGCUUCCGAGGCAUUCAGGACUCCCCUCAGGGUGUGUGAGCACCCUGGGGCACAUGCCUGUUGCUUAUGUCUGGGUUACCUCUGUGACCCUGGGACCGCUCCACAUUGAAGGCCGUUGUGUCUUUUUGUGGAAGGAUGGAAGGACAGAAGGGAAGGAGAGACAAAGUGGUACCACAGCCCUGUUCUUGCCCUGGCACUUGGAGGGCACCAGAUACCCAGGGGACUGUAGCUGGCUGUGAGGACUCUAAGGCCAGGCCAGCAUACACAGUCCCCAAUAGUGAGUAGGAGCCCAGUCAGUCCACACCCCUUCCCAUCCACUCGAAAUGUAACUUAGCCCUCGGCUUCUCCUUACCUUUCAGGAGUUCUCUCCUUACCCCCAAAGACUUCCUGAGGACCCCCUAGGCCAGCCAGCCUAUCCCUCUCUCCCCUAACCCAGCAUCCUGCAGUCCCCUGGUUCAGAUUGGUGGUGUCUGUGCCUGAACCCCCACGAGCCUGAAAGCCCCUCAAAGGCCACAUGGGUCUCCCGCCUCUCUGCAUCUCCAGAUGGUGGCACGAGGCCUAGCACACAAGGAAUCCCAGAAAAUGUUGGCUGAAGGAAUAAAUGGAUGGAUCUAGGUU